Molecule: long non-coding RNA, 610 nt
Organism: Cataglyphis hispanica
Lineage: Eukaryota; Metazoa; Arthropoda; Insecta; Hymenoptera; Formicidae
Exons: 3
Source: RefSeq, a predicted model, not a curated record
AUUGUCGCUUUCUCGAAAAUUCGAAAUUCGGCGCCGUCUGCCAUUUAUACGAAAUCUACGGAAUCGUCGAUACACAUCCAGAAUGAGCUAUUAAUCUUUUAAUUAUACAUCGCGCUUAUCUCUGUGGCAUUAAACAAUAUCGAGGAGAAUUGAAUUACGUAUCUUAAGAUACGCAACUAGACACAGAAAACCGAAAUUGUUUUCAAAGAAGCAUAUUAAUCUUGAGAAAGCGAUACAACAAUCACGAUGUGUUUUACGAUACGCAACGAUGCAAAGCACAGCGCGAUUAUUUCCAUGCAUAAGCUUUCUCAGCUGCCGCUGCUCAAAGAGCAGCUUACUUGCGUUCUCCCGAAUGAUGCGCCGCUUCUCUUGGUCCAGCGCGUGGCUUCUACACAGCUUCCCCCUUUCAUUUUUUCUCGCUCUUCGAGAUGGAAGCCGUUUGCCCAUAGGCGAAAUUGAGGCACGUGCACUAACUUGCAUGUAUCGAAGGCGAUUUGCAAAUGGCUCGGAGAUGUAUGCACUUUUAUAUAUCAUAAUAUUUCUAGAGAAAGAAUUAGAAUAUUCACAUCUCAGAAUAUAAGAGUAUAUCAUAUUUUCUGGUUUUUACAGA